UACGGAGGGUGCAAGCGUUGUCCGGAAUCACUGGGCGUAAAGGGCGCGUAGGCGGCUCAUGAAGGCUGUGGUGAAAGUCCGGGGCUCAACCUCGGAUCGGCCGUGGCGACUCGUGGGCUGGAGCACUGUAGAGGCGGGUGGAAUUCCGGGUGUAGCGGUGGAAUGCGUAGAGAUCCGGAAGAACACCAGUGGCGAAGGCGGCUCACUGGCCCGAUACUGACGCUGAGGCACGAAAGCGUGGGGAGCAAACAGG
Molecule: ribosomal RNA, 253 nt
Filed under: uncultured bacterium
Lineage: Bacteria
Description: partial 16S ribosomal RNA
Rfam family: Bacterial small subunit ribosomal RNA
Source: RNAcentral